RNAcentral lists this ribosomal RNA (300 nucleotides) under uncultured Lactobacillus sp. Its description in RNAcentral is "bacterial SSU rRNA". It matches the Rfam family "Bacterial small subunit ribosomal RNA", at positions 495 to 795 of the family's 1533-position model. Lineage: Bacteria; Bacillati; Bacillota; Bacilli; Lactobacillales; Lactobacillaceae. The record is from RNAcentral.
GUGUAAGUCCGGGCAGGCAGCCGCGGUAAUACGGUGGUGGCAAGCGUUGUCCGGAAUUGGUGGGCGUAAAGCGUGCGCAGGCGGCUUCUUAAGUCCAUCUUAAAAGUGCGGGGCUUAACCCCGUGAUGGGAUGGAAACUGAGAGGCUGGAGUAUCGGAGAGGGUGGUAGAAUUCCACGUGUAGCGGUGAAAUGCGUAGAGAUGUGGAGGAAUACCAGUGGCGAAGGCGGCCACCUGGACAGUGACUGACGCUGAGGCGCGAAAGUGUGGGUAGCAAACAGGAUUAGAUACCCCAGUAGUC